This 253-nucleotide ribosomal RNA is filed under the name uncultured bacterium. RNAcentral's name for it is "partial 16S ribosomal RNA". It matches the Rfam family "Bacterial small subunit ribosomal RNA", at positions 524 to 776 of the family's 1533-position model. The record is from RNAcentral.
UACGGGGGGGGCAAGCGUUGUUCGGAAUUACUGGGCGUAAAGGGCGCGUAGGCGGCCUUCUAAGUCGGACGUGAAAUCCCUCGGCUCAACCGAGGAACUGCGUCCGAUACUGAAAGGCUUGAAUCCGGGAGAGGGAUGUGGAAUUCCAGGUGUAGCGGUGAAAUGCGUAGAUAUCUGGAGGAACACCGGUGGCGAAGGCGGCAUCCUGGACCGGCAUUGACGCUGAGGCGCGAAAGCCAGGGGAGCAAACGGG